Molecule: transfer RNA, 61 nt
Filed under: Columbicola macrourae
Lineage: Eukaryota; Metazoa; Arthropoda; Insecta; Psocodea; Philopteridae
Description: tRNA-Val
Source: RNAcentral
AGAAGAUUAGUUUAAACAAAAUAGUUUGUUUACACCAAACAGAUCUUAGAAAGAUUUUCUA